Long non-coding RNA from Gallus gallus (chicken), 1898 nucleotides. Lineage: Eukaryota; Metazoa; Chordata; Aves; Galliformes; Phasianidae. The record is from Ensembl.
GUUGGGGUUCCCUGCAUUGCUGAUGUCUUCUGGAGAUGAGAGUCGAACGGAACUUCUUACUGGAUGCUGAUGAAGAAAUUCCUAUUCUAACUGGAAUAGAGGAUAUUUCAAUGAAUUACACAAAAGUGCAGCUCAGCAAAAAGUAGAAAGCUUGUGUUAGAGUGUUUAAGGAAUUUAAUAUAAGGAAGUGAUUUAAAGGGAGAGUGAAGAAAUUACUUAUGGUUUUAAUUCUCCUGUGGUAGAAGACAUCUGUAUUCAUAUGACUUUCUAAUGUGGCAGAGAAAUCAAAAGCCAGCGUGGGGAGAGAAAACACAACUUGAAUUCUUGUUGGCAGCACUUGCAAGUGGAGAUUUCAGAGUAGCUGUUGGGGAUGCAGGAGGGCAGAAAACACAGCUUUACAAAUGAAAAUACGGGAAAAAAUAAUAGGCCAAGAUGAAGUGCCUUGUGUUAAUGUGAAGGCAAACCAAAAAGAAGUUGUGGUCAAAUACUCAGUGCAAUUAAAAGUGUUGUAGCAGCAGAUGGGCACACAGGUGCCCAGAUGGAAAGCACAGACAGCUGCCUUAGUGUGGUGGGCUUCAGGAAAACCUCCCCAGCCCUGCACUGUUUGCCCAGAGGGAAAAUGCCCACUGGUUGGCAGAAGUAGGAUGUAUUAAUGGCCAUGUCUCAAGGCAGAGGGAUGUCCCUGCACAUCUUUUGGGAGAUGCUACCAGAUUCAUGCAUUCCUGUGCAGUCCAGCCCUCCUGCCCUCGCUGUGCUCCGGUAUGGGACAGAAGGAAACACAGAGCAAGGAAACUACAGGCAAGAAGAACUGAAAGAAACUGCCAGCACCGCAAUCCCAUGCAAGUGCAGAGAAAGCCAUGUGUUAUGCAACAUCCGUCUAGGAAGCAACACUUGUCAUUGAUAAAAAUUAUGCAAAGAGAUCCCGUGGCUGGAGGAAAAGGAAAAUGCAGAUCAGCCAAACAGCCUUACCCUAUGGUGAGAUAUUGCUGACCCUCACAUAUGUUGUUUUACAGAGAAUCCAGCAAAGCUAAAUUCCUAAACCAAUUCCUGCUAUAUCUUUUUGAUUUGAAGACCUGGAUGCUACUUUCACCCUCAGGGUCUUGGGCCGUGCCCUACAGAGACCCACAAUAGGGAUUUUUCUGUGGUCCUAGAUCUAGCUCGUGCCUGUUCUCCCUCCUUCUUGAGUCCACUUUGAGCUGAAAACCCUCAGUUCCACAGCCAGGGGCCUGGGGACACCAGACUUAAGUAUCUCUUGCUCCUUAAAGUAAAUACAUUUAAUAUAGAAGCAUAUGUAAAUAUGGGUAAAUAUGGUAAAGAAAGAAACACCCUGUGCAAGGAACAAGCAUUUUAUGUGAGAAAGGACUCUAUUUUGCACAAAUACAAAUACAUCCCUCAACAAAUAGCAGGAUCAACACUCAGACUCAAGUCAGAAGCUGACUCACCAGCCCACAGGCAGCUUCUUGCUACAGUGUCAGACUUUGCUCUACUCCACUACCACCAAACAGCCCCCGCAGUUUCCCCUAUACUCCCCCACAGUGCCCCACAUCCGGCUCUCUGCCUCCUGCAGCUCAGCUUGCACCUGGGGUCUCAUCUGCACCCCUGCAUUCAGGUAGAGCAAAGCCCUGGGGCUGGUUCUCAGCAGCUUUGGCUUUGCAAGGGCAUAUGGACUCUGGUCCCCCACAGGUACAGCCCUAUAGCUCUUCUGCAUGAUUUGGUUGAGGCAGCAGCUCUCAAGCGUUGUCCCUGCAGAGAUCAGCCCAUGUGAACACUCCUUUGGGACAUAAAGAAAAAAAUAAGCCUGUCUGCAAAAAGUGGUUUCAAUUAUGAGUUUGCAGACACCGAGUAUCCUCCUGCACCCAGACGUGGAUUGCAUAAGCUCCAGUUACAUUAAGAUGGGC